CUGAGCCUGACCAACCCGGGCCCGGGCCAACCUGAGCCGGAGGGCCUAAGCAAUACAUCGUCGUUUGCGUGUCAUCGGCGGACGUGUCAAUGUGACAAAAGUUUAGGGGCGACCGUGCGAGAACGUGACGAGCGCGUCCCUCGUCUGUCGUCUCUCCAUUCGCCGAGAGGCCGACGGAAGGACCGCCUCUGGCCGUCCCGGAAGCCGGAACGCCGCCUCGGCAGAAGAAACCAAUCAGACGAAUCAGUUUUCUCGAUAGAUCGAUCCAUCGAUCGUCGAUCGAGAUUCAAAUAGCGGCGGCAUCUGCUUCCAUUUGUCGGUCUUUUUUCCUUUUUCUUGAUUCUUUUGUGAGCCUCUGGUUCGUCGGAAACCGGUGGUGGGUGAUGGCCGACGUUGAAGGCGCAUAUGACCUUCCUGAACUGCCCCUCGAGAAGGUCUCCAUAUCUGGGCCCCUACUGUCUUCUCUCCUGCAGCGGUUCGCUGCCGCCGGCGGUGACUGCGACGGACUCCUCUUCGGCCACGUCCGCCAGCUCUCCGCCCCCAAGCUCCAGGACGACUACGACAGCUUCACCGAUCCCUCCGCCGCCGUCGCGGAAAAUGUCGCCGCUUUCAUCACGGGUUAUGUCUGCUCCGGUUCUCCUCAGAGCUUCUAUGACGCCGCCGGCCUGCUCCAUCUUCCCACCCUCGACAAGUUUGUCGCCCAGCAAAGGCAGCCGGAAUUUGAUGGUGCUGCCCCCGCCACCUCCUCGACCGCCUCGUCCGGCCUAAUCGGCUGGUUCGUCGGCCGGAGAAACACCCAACUUCGCCCUUCUAUGCGCGAGCGUGCCGUCUCCUCUUCCCUCUUCAAUAUCUUGCCCUCCAAUAAAAACCUAGCUUCCGUAAGACAAGCGGAACCACCGCGCGUUUUUCUGCUCCUGUCCGGAUCCUUCUCUCCUCAGACGCCUAUUCACACGCAUGAGUACCGCGCUUUUGAGUUCCUCCGCCGAGGCUCCUUCGUUCCGAAAUCGAUCGAUAUCGUCAACGUCGGCCCCGGAUUUCGAGGCCACUACGAUGUAUUUUGCCCCAUUUCGUCCUUCUCCUGGCUCUCUGUGGAUGCAAAAGGUCAGAGGGACGUGGUUGCAGAAGCCAACUGCAGGAGCAAUCGGAGUAGAAUUGGGGAGCAAGAUGCUUUGGAGACGAUGGAACGAGUGAGCAAUACGUUGAUAGGUGCCGAAUCUGCAAAUUAUACCGCAGAGUUGGAGGAUCUUUACAGAAGGAUGCUCUCUAAACUUGAGAAUCUAUCACGUCAAGUGGAAAUGAGCUCUGCCAUGCUUCUUGAACAAGGUUAGAUAAAGCAGAAUUUGCAUGGUCUUUAGUUUUCAGCAAGAAUUGGGAUUCUUGAAUAGUUGCCCGCAAGCAGUAUGAAGUAUUUUUUGUUAUGCACCGGGUGUUGCAGAGGGUAAGACUCCACACUCCACAGACAAAGUAAUUGAACAGUUGUAGCUUUGACAGGAAUGUUCGUAGCAAAUGAUGUCCUGCAUAUUUGGCCGUCUGACUUGUUUCAGAUGACUAUUUUGGGCAGUGACAACUGACUGCAGAUCAUUUCAUCCGGCAGCUGCUGGUGAAUGCUCAUGAUCACCAGAAUACGCACUAAUGGCAGGGGACGUUGUCAAGGAGCAUGCCGUUUCUGGGGAACGCUCUAGGUUCUCAUAGGUCUACUAUUUUCGAUGCCUGAAAAGCAGAUGUCCAAUGACUCAUACUUCUUUCCUUCAAAUUCUAAGACAUAAAGUUACGUAAAGAUUGCACAAACGAUUGAAGAUCCUUGCUAAAGGAGCUCAGUUUAGAAGAUACAUGGGAAGGUUGGAAACUUGGGAGCGUGCAACAGAAAAUGUGAAACGGAGAAAUGAUUGUUUCUUUUUAAUAGUCGGGAAAGAUGAUCCAUCAGAUGAGUCUUUAGUCUUCUUACUAGGGCUGGAUGCAUGGUAAUUGACUAAUACAGAUGUCAUUCCUGGCAUACAGGAGAAGAAGAAUUUAAGGCUGAGGUCCAAAAUUGCAGGAUUGGAAUAAUGUUCCUAUGUUUUCAGCCUUCUCAUUUCCUCUAUAGCUAUGUCUCCUGAAUAUAGCAAAUUUCAUUUUUGGAUUGGCCUUUCCAUGUUUCUAUAAGAGGAUUUCUCCUUUUUGUUCUC
This is an RNA transcript of Nymphaea colorata (pocket water lily), 2165 nucleotides long. RefSeq lists it as uncharacterized. The transcript has 3 exons. NCBI's taxonomy places the organism in Eukaryota, Viridiplantae, Streptophyta, Magnoliopsida, Nymphaeales, Nymphaeaceae. The record is from RefSeq and is a predicted model, not a curated record.